GCCUUCGUGGUGUAGUGGUCAGCACGCUUGGUGCGUAUUCAAGAGAUCCGAGGUUCGAGUCCCAGCAAGGACA
Molecule: transfer RNA, 73 nt
Filed under: Stegodyphus mimosarum
Lineage: Eukaryota; Metazoa; Arthropoda; Arachnida; Araneae; Eresidae
Rfam family: tRNA
About the family: Transfer RNA (tRNA) molecules are approximately 80 nucleotides in length. Their secondary structure includes four short double-helical elements and three loops (D, anti-codon, and T loops).
Source: Rfam by way of RNAcentral